RNAcentral lists this ribosomal RNA (373 nucleotides) under uncultured bacterium. RNAcentral's name for it is "bacterial SSU rRNA". It matches the Rfam family "Bacterial small subunit ribosomal RNA", at positions 521 to 896 of the family's 1533-position model. The record is from RNAcentral.
UAAUACGGAGGGUGCAAGCGUUAUCCGGAUUCACUGGGUUUAAAGGGAGCGUAGGCGGGCAGGUAAGUCAGUGGUGAAAUCCCCGAGCUUAACUUGGGAACUGCCGUUGAUACUAUCUGUCUUGAAUAUCGUGGAGGUAAGCGGAAUAUGUCAUGUAGCGGUGAAAUGCUUAGAUAUGACAUAGAACACCAAUUGCGAAGGCAGCUUACUACGCGGUUAUUGACGCUGAUGCUCGAAAGCGUGGGGAUCAAACAGGAUUAGAUACCCUGGUAGUCCACGCCCUAAACGAUGGAUACUCGACAUUUGCGAUACACUGUAAGUGUCUGAGCGAAAGCAUUAAGUAUCCCACCUGGGAAGUACGACCGCAAGGUUG